This 616-nucleotide ribosomal RNA is filed under the name uncultured bacterium. Its description in RNAcentral is "bacterial SSU rRNA". It matches the Rfam family "Bacterial small subunit ribosomal RNA", at positions 173 to 788 of the family's 1533-position model. The record is from RNAcentral.
ACACAGGGAUCCCGCAUGGGAAUAUUUGUUAAAGAAUUAUCGGUAGUAGCUGGGCAUGCGUUCCAUUAGGCAGUUGGUAAGGUAACGGCUUACCAAACCUACGAUGGAUAGGGGAACUGAGAGGUUUAUCCCCCACACUGGAACUGAGACACGGACCAGACUCCUACGGGAGGCAGCAGUGAGGAAUAUUGGUCAAUGGGCGAGAGCCUGAACCAGCCAAGUCGCGUGAAGGAAGACGGUCCUACGGAUUGUAAACUUCUUUUACAGGAGAGUAAAAAGCGGUACGCGUACCGCCUUGCAAGUACCCUGUGAAUAAGCAUCGGCUAACUCCGUGCCAGCAGCCGCGGUAAUACGGAGGAUGCGAGCGUUAUCCGGAUUUAUUGGGUUUAAAGGGUGCGCAGGCGGGACUAUAAGUCAGUGGUGAAAUCUCGACGCUCAACGUCGAACCUGCCAUUGAAACUGUAGCCCUUGAAUAUGGAUGAAGUAGGCGGAACUCGUCGUGUAGCGGUGAAAUGCAUAGAUAUAACGAAGAACACCAAUUGCGUAGGCAGCUUACUAAACCAUUAUUGACGCUCAGGCACGAAAGCGUGGGGUAUCAAACAGGAUUAGAUACCCU